RNAcentral lists this long non-coding RNA (704 nucleotides) under Ficedula albicollis (Collared flycatcher). Its description in RNAcentral is "lncRNA (ENSFALG00000024725.1)". The record is from RNAcentral. Lineage: Eukaryota; Metazoa; Chordata; Aves; Passeriformes; Muscicapidae.
AUGGCCUGCACAGUCAGUGUGUCAGGGCUGUGUGCUCACACAGUCCAUCCCAUCCCAGGUCACUUCAGUCUCCUCCCGCUCGGCCAGACACCGAACCCAGGGACUGCCAGCAGAGAGGCUUCUCCCGUGGCAUGCCUUAUGCUCCAAGACCUGUACCCAUGGACGUGCAUCCAAACACCUUUCCUGUGCCAGCUUACCCAGUUAACCAGCACCCUCAGCAGGCUUUCCAGCAGCCCUACUACUCCCCAGCACAGUACCCAGUGCAGCAGCCACAGAGGGUGCCCAGCAGGUCAGUGGGGCUCCUGCAGGUGCCCAUGGCACUGGUGGGGUGAUUCCUUGUUCUGGCCAUCACUCCUGGGAGCCCAAGGGUGUUCCAUCACGUGUUGUGUGCAAGUGGGGCUGACUUCUCACUGGGAGAAAUUUCUCCUUCAGCUCACCCUGACAGGCAGAGCGUUCAUCCUGCUCUGUCAUGGCUGGGUGGUGAUGAACGAGGCUCAGGGCACUGCUCUGGCACUGCCCCCUGGCACUGACCCCUGUGGGGCUGACCCCCCUGGCACUGCCCCCUGUGACUGACCCCUGUGGGGCUGUGGGUGGUGACCCCUGUGACUGACCGGGGGGGGGGGGGGGGGGGGGGGGGGGGGGGGGGGGGGGGGGGGGGGGGGGGGGGGGGGGGGGGGGGGGGGGGGGGGGGGGGGGGGGGGGGG